Molecule: non-coding RNA, 184 nt
Organism: Neurospora crassa OR74A
Lineage: Eukaryota; Fungi; Ascomycota; Sordariomycetes; Sordariales; Sordariaceae
Source: the annotation of a RefSeq genome assembly
GCGCGGUUGGCGUAGUGGUCUAACGCAUACACACCGAAAAAGCCACUUUGUGCGAAGGGUGUGAGUUCAAUGCCAACCCGAGCACGCAAAAGUCCGAACUGGGGAGGGUGGUGGCGCACCUAAAUCACAGACAAAAAAGUGGCACGGAAGUGUAAGAACCCGGGUUCGAAUCCCGGACCGCGCA